UCCAAUAGUAAUAUUUUACGUCUCUUCUGUCUUUUAUCCCAGGGAGUGCUUUAGUAGACAAACAAACCACUGCAGGAAUUCAGUCUUCAUUAUGUCAAGAGCAGCAGAAGCUGGGUCACAGACCAUAUACUGCAUGUCCGCUGCUGUGAAAAUCCUCCUACCCCAGCACAUUUUGCCUGGGGGUAAGAAAAAGCUACAGGUGUACUGCCAGUGCUCUAUGGCCCUUCCCAGUUUCCUUCUGUGGAGUGAUUUGUUCCAUGAAUGUUCCCAGGAUCCUGUUCAAUCUUUGCUAAGGAUGUUAGUCAUAAAUGUAGAUACUAGAAUCAUGGAAAAAGAAAGGCUGAGAAAUGAAGGGGAAGGGGUACUAUAAAUGGUCUGGGAAGGUAAUAACAGCAGCUGUAAUAACAGAUAAUCAACCACACUCAUGUGACGGAAAAAUAAGAGGUACAACAUUUUAGAUUUUUCCUUUUAAAAACACUGCAGAAACAAAAAACUGAACUGAACAAUGCAAUUUAUGUGAUGUCUCUCACUGAGCAUUUUCCUUAAAAGUUAGAAGCUCCUUUCAAAAAGCUGCUGCAAAAUAAAGAAAAAAGUGUUCUUUUCAUCACCCGAUACUGGUUACUUUGGUUUUGCUUCUGUAAACCAAAAUACAACAUUAAAGUUUUCUUCCAUCACAA
Long non-coding RNA from Harpia harpyja (harpy eagle), 677 nucleotides. RefSeq lists it as uncharacterized. The transcript has 3 exons. Lineage: Eukaryota; Metazoa; Chordata; Aves; Accipitriformes; Accipitridae. The record is from RefSeq and is a predicted model, not a curated record.